GCUUACGGCCAUACCAACCUGGCUAUGCCCGAUCUCGUCUGAUCUCGGAAGCUAAGCAGGUUUGGGCCUGGUUUAGUACUGGAUGGGAGCCGCCUGGGAAUACCAGGUGCUGUAAGCU
This 118-nucleotide ribosomal RNA is filed under the name Carassius auratus (goldfish). The record is from RNAcentral. Lineage: Eukaryota; Metazoa; Chordata; Actinopteri; Cypriniformes; Cyprinidae.